This is a long non-coding RNA of Solanum tuberosum (potato), 116 nucleotides long. RefSeq lists it as uncharacterized. The record is from RefSeq and is a predicted model, not a curated record. The transcript is spliced from 3 exons. NCBI's taxonomy places the organism in Eukaryota, Viridiplantae, Streptophyta, Magnoliopsida, Solanales, Solanaceae.
ACACUAAUCAUCCCAACUUUGCUUGACGCGUUAAAGAAGGAAUCAAAGGUACAUGUUCAAGCAAGACUAUUGGAGGCAUUCAACGAAAGCAUUCAGAUUCCGGGUUCACGUCUAAG